This 465-nucleotide ribosomal RNA is filed under the name uncultured Klebsiella sp. RNAcentral's name for it is "bacterial SSU rRNA". It matches the Rfam family "Bacterial small subunit ribosomal RNA", at positions 338 to 795 of the family's 1533-position model. Lineage: Bacteria; Pseudomonadati; Pseudomonadota; Gammaproteobacteria; Enterobacterales; Enterobacteriaceae. The record is from RNAcentral.
CCUACGGGAGGCUGCAGUGGGGAAUAUUGCACAAUGGGCGCAAGCCUGAUGCAGCCAUGCCGCGUGUGUGAAGAAGGCCUUCGGGUUGUAAAGCACUUUCAGCGGGGAGGAAGGCGGUGAGGUUAAUAACCUCAUCGAUUGACGUUACCCGCAGAAGAAGCACCGGCUAACUCCGUGCCAGCAGCCGCGGUAAUACGGAGGGUGCAAGCGUUAAUCGGAAUUACUGGGCGUAAAGCGCACGCAGGCGGUCUGUCAAGUCGGAUGUGAAAUCCCCGGGCUCAACUUGGGAACUGCAUUCGAAACUGGCAGGCUAGAGUCUUGUAGAGGGGGGUAGAAUUCCAGGUGUAGCGGUGAAAUGCGUAGAGAUCUGGAGGAAUACCGGUGGCGAAGGCGGCCCCCUGGACAAAGACUGACGCUCAGGUGCGAAAGCGUGGGGAGCAAACAGGAUUAGAUACCCGAGUAGUC